Molecule: ribosomal RNA, 253 nt
Filed under: uncultured bacterium
Lineage: Bacteria
Description: partial 16S ribosomal RNA
Rfam family: Bacterial small subunit ribosomal RNA
Source: RNAcentral
UACGAAGGGGGCUAGCGUUGCUCGGAAUCACUGGGCGUAAAGGGUGCGUAGGCGAGUUAUUAAGUCAGAGGUGAAAUCCUGGAGCUCAACUCCAGAACUGCCUUUGAUACUGAUAGUCUUGAGUAUGGGAGAGGUGAGUGGAACUGCGAGUGUAGAGGUGAAAUUCGUAGAUAUUCGCAAGAACACCAGUGGCGAAGGCGGCUCACUGGCCCAUUACUGACGCUGAGGCACGAAAGCGUGGGGAGCAAACAGG